GGGUUGCAACAGGAUUGGCAAUCCCGGCGUCAAAGCCGCAUCCCCGGAGGGGUUUACUGCCAAAGGUUUUCGCGCUUUUCGGGAUUGUCCCCGCUUUCUAAAGACCCAACCAAGGUUAGAGGCGGGGGGCUCCACCUCCUGGGGCAAAGAAGGCUACUUUCGAGCCCUUGCCGCCCAACAAUUCCGGGCUAUGACAUGCCCUCUAAGGACUUACACGGGAGGCGUGACCCUUUUUGGCAGGGGGGCUCCCGUGGGGAAACGUGUAAGUGGCCCCCAUUUUUAAAAUCUUGUGUUAUUUCUUCCGCAAGGAGCUAUCCCCCCCCUAGGUUCAUCACCAUAAAAGGGCACUCUCAAAGGAAUUCCGGCCAUUAAACAGGAAUACCUUGGGGAGGAUCUCAAAUGAUUAUGCCCCUUAUGACUUGGGCUACACACGUGGUACAAUGGACGGUACAAAGAGGUGCAAGACCGCGAGGUGGAGGUAAUUUCAUAAAACCGUUCUCAGUUCGGAUUGUAGGCUGCAACUCGCCUACAUGAAGCUGGAAUCGCUAGUAAUCGCGGAUCAGCAUGCCGCGGUGAAUACGUUCCCGGGCCUUGUACACACCGCCCGUCACACCACGAGAGUUUGUAACACCCGAAGUCGGUGGGGUAACCUUUUUGGAGCCAGCCGCCUAAGGUGGGACAGAUGAUUGGGGUGAAGUCGUAACAAGGUAGCCGAUCGAAGAAAAAAAA
Molecule: ribosomal RNA, 729 nt
Filed under: Bacillus cereus
Lineage: Bacteria; Bacillati; Bacillota; Bacilli; Caryophanales; Bacillaceae
Description: partial 16S ribosomal RNA
Rfam family: Bacterial small subunit ribosomal RNA
Source: RNAcentral